GACGAACGCUGGCGGCGUGCUUAACACAUGCAAGUCGAACGGAAAGGCCCUGCUUUUGUGGGGUGCUCGAGUGGCGAACGGGUGAGUAACACGUGAGUAACCUGCCCUUGACUUUAGGAUAACUUCAGGAAACUGGGGCUAAUACCGGAUAGGAGCUCCUGCUGCAUGGUGGGGGUUGGAAAGUUUCGGCGGUUGGGGAUGGACUCGCGGCUUAUCAGCUUGUUGGUGGGGUAGUGGCUUACCAAGGCUUUGACGGGUAGCCGGCCUGAGAGGGUGACCGGCCACAUUGGGACUGAGAUACGGCCCAGACUCCUACGGGAGGCAGCAGUGGGGAAUAUUGCACAAUGGGCGGAAGCCUGAUGCAGCAACGCCGCGUGCGGGAUGACGGCCUUCGGGUUGUAAACCGCUUUCGCCUGUGACGAAGCGUGAGUGACGGUAAUGGGUAAAAAGCACCGGCUAACUACGUG
Molecule: ribosomal RNA, 467 nt
Filed under: uncultured bacterium
Lineage: Bacteria
Description: partial 16S ribosomal RNA
Rfam family: Bacterial small subunit ribosomal RNA
Source: RNAcentral